Molecule: long non-coding RNA, 1037 nt
Organism: Ailuropoda melanoleuca (giant panda)
Lineage: Eukaryota; Metazoa; Chordata; Mammalia; Carnivora; Ursidae
Exons: 3
Source: RefSeq, a predicted model, not a curated record
UAGGGUCAUUGCAGAUGUAAUUAUGUUAAGACAAGCUCCUGCUGGAGUAGGGUGGGCCCUGAGUCCAGUAGGACUGGUGUCCUUUGAGGGGACGAAGAAACACCCACCAAGAAGUAUGGCCGCCACGAGGCAAGGGUUGCUCACAUCACCAGAAGCCAGACGAGGCGAGGAGGAAUUCUCUACAGGCUGAGGAGAGAGCCAGCUCCUGGUGACACCUUGAUUUCAGCCUUCUAGCUUCCAGAACCACAAGAUGCUUCAGCCACUGGGAAGAAACUCAUCGGAACCACUCUGGGUUUCCAAACCCAAAAGUCCAACCUGGGUGUCCGGUGCCCUUGCCCCUCACCCCAAUCAGCUGUGCUCGGAAAACGGGGCCAUAUCUUCCCAAACGUGUCAAGAAAGGUUGACAAGUUGUGGCAUGUGGUGAAGUCACAGGACACACGAUUGGCAUCAGGAGGUCCUUGGCUGCAACCGUGGCUGGUCACAGCCUUGUCUGUUCCUCAGAAGGCCAUGGAGCUGCCCACAGGCCAUCUCCCCGCUCACCUGAACUCCAGAGCGGCUCCCUGGUAAACAGAGCAAAAGCCCUUGUAUCUGCAAACCACGAGGUCGACAGAGUGGCUACUCUUCUGGUACCAGAGCGGUCUCCCACAAGUACUUGGCUGAGUAACCGAUUCACCUUUCUGCACCCCUUUUCAACUCCAGGCUCUUGGAGUUUCUGUCUCCCCAAGGUACCAGAUCCAGGAAAGCGAUUAGCUCUUAUCUAAACCAGCUGGGGCAGUGCCCAGGGCCUGUUUUCCACUUUCUCCCUGGGUUUGAUCUCACUCAGGAAGCCCAGGCAAGCAGGAUGGGACCCCCUGGGCUGCUACUGAUGUGGGGGCAACCUGGGGGAUGUGGUAGAAAAGCUCCAUCAUGAAGCCAGCAAAUUAGGACCUUUGUCAAGAGAAGACAAAGCAUCGCCUGGGAAAAAGAGAGCCCAUCUCGGAGCCCAGGACAAAGCUUGGCCAGGCCGCCGGAGACUUCCAAUACCAAGCAGGCGACCG